UACAGAGGGUGCGAGCGUUAAUCGGAAUUACUGGGCGUAAAGGGCGCGUAGGCGGUGAUAUGAGUGUGAUGUGAAAGCCCUGGGCUUAACCUAGGAAGAGCAUCGCAAACGAUAUGACUGGAGUAGAGGAGAGGGUGGUGGAAUUUCCGGUGUAGCAGUGAAAUGCGUAGAGAUCGGAAGGAACGUCGAUGGCGAAGGCAGCCACCUGGCCUCAUACUGACGCUGAGGCGCGAAAGCGUGGGGAGCGAAC
This 250-nucleotide ribosomal RNA is filed under the name uncultured bacterium. RNAcentral's name for it is "partial 16S ribosomal RNA". It matches the Rfam family "Bacterial small subunit ribosomal RNA", at positions 524 to 773 of the family's 1533-position model. The record is from RNAcentral.